This 465-nucleotide ribosomal RNA is filed under the name Vreelandella stevensii. RNAcentral's name for it is "partial 16S ribosomal RNA". It matches the Rfam family "Bacterial small subunit ribosomal RNA", at positions 338 to 795 of the family's 1533-position model. Lineage: Bacteria; Pseudomonadati; Pseudomonadota; Gammaproteobacteria; Oceanospirillales; Halomonadaceae. The record is from RNAcentral.
CCUACGGGCGGCAGCAGUGGGGAAUAUUGGACAAUGGGCGAAAGCCUGAUCCAGCCAUGCCGCGUGUGUGAAGAAGGCCUUCGGGUUGUAAAGCACUUUCAGUGGGGAAGAAAGCCUUGGGGCUAAUACCCUCGAGGAAGGACAUCACCCACAGAAGAAGCACCGGCUAACUCCGUGCCAGCAGCCGCGGUAAUACGGAGGGUGCGAGCGUUAAUCGGAAUUACUGGGCGUAAAGCGCGCGUAGGCGGCCUGAUAAGCCGGUUGUGAAAGCCCCGGGCUCAACCUGGGAACGGCAUCCGGAACUGUCAGGCUAGAGUGCAGGAGAGGAAGGUAGAAUUCCCGGUGUAGCGGUGAAAUGCGUAGAGAUCGGGAGGAAUACCAGUGGCGAAGGCGGCCUUCUGGACUGACACUGACGCUGAGGUGCGAAAGCGUGGGUAGCAAACAGGAUUAGAUACCCCAGUAGUC